This 253-nucleotide ribosomal RNA is filed under the name uncultured bacterium. RNAcentral's name for it is "partial 16S ribosomal RNA". It matches the Rfam family "Bacterial small subunit ribosomal RNA", at positions 524 to 776 of the family's 1533-position model. The record is from RNAcentral.
UACGGAGGGUGCAAGCGUUAAUCGGAAUUACUGGGCGUAAAGCGCACGCAGGCGGUUUGUUAAGUCAGAUGUGAAAUCCCCGGGCUCAACCUGGGAACUGCAUUUGAAACUGGCAAGCUUGAGUCUUGUAGAGGGGGGUAGAAUUCCAGGUGUAGCGGUGAAAUGCGUAGAGAUCUGGAGGAAUACCGGUGGCGAAGGCGGCCCCCUGGACAAAGACUGACGCUCAGGUGCGAAAGCGUGGGGAGCAAACAGG